Molecule: non-coding RNA, 24 nt
Filed under: Cricetulus griseus (Chinese hamster)
Lineage: Eukaryota; Metazoa; Chordata; Mammalia; Rodentia; Cricetidae
Source: RNAcentral
GUCAGGUUAGGAACUCAAGCAGGA